AUCGAACGCUGGCGGCAGGCCUAACACAUGCAAGUCGGGCGUGCGGCGGACGGGUGAGUAAUGUAUGGGGAUCUGCCUGAUGGCGGGGGAUCACUACUGGAAACGGUAGCUAAUACCGCACACCUUCAGUUGAACCCAUGUGGGAUUAGCUUGUAGGUAAGGUAACGGCUUACGGAGGCGACGAUCCCUAGCUGGUCUGAGAGGAUGAUGAGCAACACUGGGACUUGGACACGGCCCAGACUCCUACGGGGGGCAGCGGUGGGGAAUAUUGCACAAUGGGGGCAAGCCUGAUGCGGCCAUGCCGCGUGUAUGAAGAGGGCCUUCGGGUUGAAAAGUACUUUCAGUCGGGAGGCGUUACCGACAGAAGAAGCACCGGCUAACUCCGUGCCAGCAGCCGCGGUAAUAC
RNAcentral lists this ribosomal RNA (406 nucleotides) under uncultured bacterium. Its description in RNAcentral is "partial 16S ribosomal RNA". It matches the Rfam family "Bacterial small subunit ribosomal RNA", at positions 30 to 526 of the family's 1533-position model. The record is from RNAcentral.